AACGAACGCUGGCGGCAUGCCUAACACAUGCAAGUCGAACGAGACCUUCGGGUCUAGUGGCGCACGGGGGCGUAACGCGGGGGAACCUGCCCUUAGGUUCGGAAUAACUCCCCGAAAGGGGUGCUAAAACCGGAUAAUGCCUUCGGACCAAAGAUUUAUCGCCUUUGGAUGGGCCCGCGUUGGUUUAGCUAGUUGGUAGGGUAAAAGCCUACCAAGGCGACGAUCGAUCGCUGGUCUGAGAGGAUGAUCAGCCACACUGGGACUGAGACACGGCCCAGACUCCUACGGGAGGCAGCAGUGGGGAAUAUUGGACAAUGGGCGAAAGUCUGAUCCAGCAAUGCCGCGUGAGUGAUGAAGGCCUUAGGGUUGUAAAGCUCUUUUACCCGGGAUGAUAAUGACAGUACCGGGAGAAUAAGCUCCGGCUAACUCCGUG
Molecule: ribosomal RNA, 433 nt
Filed under: uncultured bacterium
Lineage: Bacteria
Description: partial 16S ribosomal RNA
Rfam family: Bacterial small subunit ribosomal RNA
Source: RNAcentral